ACCCGGUGCUUGCACCGGUGAUUAGUGGCGAACGGGUGAGUAACACGUGAGUAACCUGCCCUUAACUCUGGGAUAAGCCUGGGAAACUGGGUCUAAUACCGGAUAUGACUCCUCAUCGCAUGGUGGGGGGUGGAAAGCUUUAUUGUGGUUUUGGAUGGACUCGCGGCCUAUCAGCUUGUUGGUGAGGUAAUGGCUCACCGAGGCGACGACGGGUAGCCGGCCUGAGAGGGUGACCGGCCACACUGGGACUGAGACACGGCCCAGACUCCUACGGGAGGCAGCAGUGGGGAAUAUUGCACAAUGGGCGCAAGCCUGAUGCAGCGACGCCGCGUGAGGGAUGACGGCCUUCGGG
RNAcentral lists this ribosomal RNA (352 nucleotides) under uncultured bacterium. Its description in RNAcentral is "bacterial SSU rRNA". It matches the Rfam family "Bacterial small subunit ribosomal RNA", at positions 71 to 422 of the family's 1533-position model. The record is from RNAcentral.